Molecule: ribosomal RNA, 515 nt
Filed under: uncultured Bacillaceae bacterium
Lineage: Bacteria; Bacillati; Bacillota; Bacilli; Caryophanales; Bacillaceae
Description: bacterial SSU rRNA
Rfam family: Bacterial small subunit ribosomal RNA
Source: RNAcentral
AGUUGACUCCGUGCAGAGACGACGCUGGCGGCGUGCCUAAUACAUGCAAAGUCGAGCGGACCGGAUGGGAGACUUGCUCCCAGAAGUUAGCGGCGGACGGGUGAGUAACACGUGGGCAACCUGCCCUAUAGUUGGGGAUAACUCCGGGAAACCGGGGCUAAUACCGAAUGAUAUAAUUUAGCUCCUGCUAGAUUGUUGAAAGAUGGUUUACGCUAUCGCUAUAGGAUGGGCCCGCGGCGCAUUAGCUAGUUGGUGAGGUAACGGCUCACCAAGGCGACGAUGCGUAGCCGACCUGAGAGGGUGAUCGGCCACACUGGGACUGAGACACGGCCCAGACUCCUACGGGAGGCAGCAGUAGGGAAUCUUCCACAAUGGGCGAAAGCCUGAUGGAGCAACGCCGCGUGAGUGAAGAAGGUUUUCGGAUCGUAAAACUCUGUUGUAGGGGAAGAACAAGUACAGUAGUAACUGGCUGUACCUUGACGGUACCUUAUUAGAAAGCCACGGCUAACUACGUG